CCAGUUUAAUUAUAUAAGUAGUUAGAUAAUAACUUUUUAAUUAUUCAAUAUAUAUUUAUUAUUUCAUAAUAUUUUAUAAACAUAUAAUAUAUAAAAUAAUUUAUAUAUAUAAUGUUCAUCCCGCGCAAGGCGCGGAUCUUAACCUAGUUUAUAUAUAAAGCAAAAAAAAAUAAUUAAGAUAGAUCAAGAUAUCUUAGCCACACAUAUGCUAAAUAUGCUAAAACUAUAGACUAAUUUCCGUCUCAUAGUUUUGCUAAAUGUUUCUGGCAAUAACUCAAGUAACAAUAAACGUGUAACUUACUAUUUUCAGAAAAAAGUUCCCAAGUUCCAGGAACCAUUAUUUUAGUGUAUCAGGUGGUAGAACGAACAUAAGCACAACCACUUAUCGAAUCACCAAAGAAGUAUCGUUUUCUAUUUUUUUUAGAAUAAGUUUCGUUUACUUAAUCAUCAAAAAAAGUUUCGUUUUCUUAUUACAAUUCCAACUCGCAUGUGGUGUAGUUGAUUUGCUUUGAGGUAGGAGUAUAAAUCAUUGAUAACUCAAAAAUGUUACCAAUUAUGCAUAAAAUUUAAAUUUUUAUUUUAAGUUUGAUUUAAUAUAUGUUGUAGUUGAGUUAUAAUUUUGACUUAAACCUUUUUUUAAAGUUGUUAACUCAAAGCACAAACUAACAUCAACCAAAAUUCAUGUUUUAGAAGUUUCCAAACUUACGUAUGCCAAGUUACAGUUACAUACUUUUGUAGAUUUCAUUUUGUUUGAACACUUAUAAUUUUUUUGUUAUUACGAUUAUUUCAAUAAUUUAUUUUAUUACUGAUAUUAGAAAAAAUAGUAUAUUAGUGAUUAUAAUAUUUAUAAAACAAUAUAAAUUGAAAAUUACUUUUUUCAAAUUUUAAUACUAAUUUAAAGUAUUUUGAAAAAUAUUUUUUUUUUUAAAAAAUAGCUUAAUGUUAUAUUUGUUUCCUAUAUAUAUUUUCACUAUUUAUAUGUUUAUAUAGUCAACAAAAGAAAAAAGUGAGGUUGAGACAAUCGUUCUCAUAUUUCUCUCUCAUCUCUCUGUGAGACCUCCAUUAAUGAUAUCUAGGUUUGGGGUUCUCAAGAAAAAAAAAUAUAUAUACAUAUGUGAAUGUAUAUAUUAUAUUAGUAUUUAAUUAUGGAAUUCUCAACUUUAAACGCAGUCCAAAAUGUCUAUUUUCAGAUAUUGUGGAUUGUAUCUCUAAUAACAUAAAGAAGAGCGUGAUUCUCUUCUCAUCAAGCCACGUCAGAAAAUAGGAGUACCAGUGAUCGACACGUGUCUAAACACAAAGUCAUGUCGCGUUUCAUUUAAAUCUGGUUUCAUGGGUUUUAAUUUGUUAUGGGCUUCGUAUUUGUUAAAUUUGGCGAUCCCAUCAGUUUAGGUUUCUUCUCCGACAAUCGAUGUCAACACAGAACCAGCGUUUCCCUUCUGGCGCAGCCGAUCUUUCACCUUUUUCCUGUCUGUUGCGAGAUGAAACCAGAAACCGAAUUCUAACAUAAAGCCCUCCAUCAAUCGAGCAUCCAUGAUCUAUAUUCACUGCGUCUCCUGAGACUGCAAGUCGGUGAACGUUCUACUAUAAAAGGAACGGCCGCUCUUCCUCCACCGUUCAAUAAGCCUGCUCCGUUUCUGAGAGGCCAUGAAUAUACGCCGUGGUGGAGAUCUCAUGGGAGUCGACAUGCUCCUUAUUGAUUCUCAGGCGACCAUGAUGCCGGAAACCAUCAAUGUCAACAGCUGGUGACCCACCGGCCUAACCUGAAAGCCGGUUCAGUUUAUUCCCUAACCGGGUUUGAAUGCCACUCCCGGCACACAUGUUUACUUCGACAAAGAGACAUCAGCAGGAGAGAGUUUCUUCAACAGGCUGGUUGAACAAGACACUGGAGUUACGCCAGCUACUCCAUUGCUAAGGGGCUAUGCAAAGGUGGAAGCACUGAGCAUAGCUGAGCUUUGUCACCACUCCCUCUCAGGAGAGGGACUGAAAUCAAGAUAGAUAAGUGGUGGUGCUACGUUUCUUGCUCAAAUUGUGGUAAGAAACUCCAACACAUGGCGUCAUCUCUCACAUGUGUGCCUUGCAAUAAUACUAGCGUAGUUGGUGUGCUCCGACGAAACUGGUGAAGGGUUGUUUGUUUGCUUCGAUGGGUCAUGACGAAGCUCCACAACAUGAGGGCCUAUGAGGCUGGCCAUCUUCUGUCCAUUCUCUGUGUUGACUACUUAUUCAUUCAGUCACAUUCAUCCAAUUUAGCGCAGGCUGGUGAUGGUGUCAACCCCGAGGAAACUGAGGCCCCUCCUUUUGUUAAAGACAUGGAGGGAAAGACAUACAAGUUACAGGUGAGAGUGAGCUCAUACAAUUUCACAGCGAAUCAUCAGACCUUCACCAUCUCCCACAUACUCAGCGAGGGUGCCACCUCCUGAAUUCGUUGUCAACGUAAGCCUUAUAUAGUUUCCAGUAACGUCUCUGCUUUGUAUUCAUAUGUAUAUGAUUUUCUUUGAUUUGAUUAGGGGGUUGACGAUGGAGAUAACAACCACGGUGGCAACUCAGUGCCUGUUAAGGUGGAAGCUGCUGGUAGUAGCAAUGUUGAUGGAGCUGCUGGGAAGGUGAAGAAGGCACGCAAGGCCUAGAUGAAGCCGGUUGAUGUUGAGGAUGCUGUUUUCCAGCUUUGUUUGGUUGUCUUUUUUUUUUUUUUUCUGUUUUUUGGUCUUCAUGAACAAGUUUGCGUGUUUUGAUUUUUGCUUUUCCAAACUUCUAAUUUGAGUUAUUGCUUAUCAGUUAUAAAAUCUAUUCCAUCUCAGAAAUGUUUGGCAUUAAGUUAUAUACUUUCAAAAUUAGCAACAAUAUAUAUUUAAAAUCUAUGCAGAGAAUCUGCAUGCUAAAAAGAAUUGAAGGUGCAGACGUUCUUGGAAAUGAUAAUCUGAUCAUAGCAAUCAACCCAGCCCGAAGAUCCGUUAGCUCGCACGUCUUUGUUUCUGCUUUUAUUUACAGUUUCUGCUUUUGUUGAACUAUGAUUUGUUCCCACUUCCUUUAAUUAACUAUGAACUGAUCUUGAAUUGAAUGUCCAGAAAAAAAAACUAAGUUCAUACACAGUCAGCAUUGGUUAUACUGUCAUUUCUUGCAAUGCAAGUUAAAAUCAUAACGUGGAAUACCGCAACACACGUCCUCACCGAACAGCGUGAGCCAUGCAUCACUGUCAUAAUAUAUAAACAUCAAGUUCCACAAACCAGACAUCUAAUCUCUGACCAUACUAUACAAGUUACUCCUAAGUCUCGAGACAAACAUCAAAUACACAAAUAAUAAGAACACUUAAACACACGAACAACAAAACAAAACAAAAAUAUAACAAAAAUAUAAAAUAUAACAACAUAACUCAACCAAUACUCAAAUUAUUAAAAAGUUAACAUUUUUCUCAUGUUAAUACUUCGGCAUCUCAAGAUUCUAAGAAAAAAAAGUAACUCUAAAGCAGUUUCUAAUAAUGCAAACACAAGGCUACGAGUAGUUAAAUUUUGUUCAAUGGGUGGAAUAUUAAACUAUAUCAUGUUCAUUGUUCAAUACCAAAUCUAAUAAGUAGUCAAAUGACAGCUGAAACAUUUAAGAAACUAUAAAAAGUUAUGAAAAUAAAUAAAUUUAAUGGAAACACUACUUAAUGAAAGUUGAUGUUAAUUUCAAUUUAGACAAAAAAAUAAAACGAAAAAAAGUAUUUUUAUUAAUAAAAAAUAUAAUAAAAAGAGUAAAUAAUAUUUAAAAUAAUAAAAUGUUACAAUGUAUUUAAUAAUAAAUAAAAUAAAUUAUAUGUCAGAAAUAUAAAUAUAUAUCAAAUUAAACUAAAUAAUAUAAUAUUCCGCGAAAGAAAUCUGAGCUGAGUUUAUACUAUAGGCACAAGAAUUAACUUUGGGAAGCAAAAACACGAGAGCUCAAAAUAAACCUAUAUUUAAAUUUCUUAAUAUGUUUUAAUCAAUCAUAAUUAAACUACAACCAAUAUUUUUGAAAAAUAUACAAAAUAUAUAAAUAAACCUUUAAAUCUAUGUAGUAAAGUGUAUGUUAGAAUAGCUUAUAAAACUUUUAGGCCUUCAUCACCAUUAGCAACUAUAUAUAGAAAAACAACACCAAACUUCAAUACAUUUUGUUAUGUAUAAACUGCGUAAAAAUGUAAAAGAAAUUAUAUAGAAAAUGAUUUUGAAACAAUGAAAAUAUGAAUUAAUAAUUUAGAACGGUUUUGGUUUGUACCGAGUUUUUUUUUGUAAAAAAUACUAUAGAUUGCUUUCGUGUGCUAUAGCCUAUAAGGUUACAUGGAUUUUGGUUUGGACUACAGUUUAAGAGAAACCAAAAGUAUAUUCAAAAACAAAAGUAUAAAAGUGAGAAAUAUAUAAGCAAAUAUAACCAAAAGAAUAUCACACAAAAGAAACAAAGAAAGGUAAAAAAAAAAAAAACAACGGUUAAUAUAUCAGUUACUAACAUUCUCCAAAAAACUAUAAUAACUUUGACAAAGAAUUUCUCUAAAUAAAAACUCCAUUCUCCGCUAUUUUAUAAACCCUCACAAAAGUGGUAUAAACUCGAUCUCAGUCUUUUUUGAUCGAAUCGAAUUGAUUUUUGUAUUUUAUAGUUAUAUAAAAUUUAAAACACAAUAAAAGUUACAAUUCGGGAUUAACACAACAAUAAUACUAAGAAAUUGAUUAUUUUUAAUUAUAUAAUUAAAAUUUGGUGUAAGAAACAUAAUCGUACUCACAUCCAACUUAACUUAAAAGAAAUUUACACAAAAUUAUAUUUUUUUUAUAAAAACCAAUCCAUCAAAAAAAUAAAAAUAAAGAAUUUUAGUUAGACAUAUGCGAAAAUGACAUAAAAAUGUGUUCUCAUUAUAAAAAAAACAUAACAAGAAAGAAAGAUAAUAGUUAAAAUAGUAUAAUGUCAUAAAAUAUAUUUGACAACAAAUAAAAACAAAAAUAAGCUAGAAAAAUAAACGAACAUCAAACGUUAAGUAAGAUGAAUAUAAUAUCCCUUCUCAUUGGAAAUUUUCUAAAAGACAAUAUAUAUCUUUUGUAAAUGCAAGCCUAAAAUACAAACCACAAAAUCAUACAAAAAUAAAAAUCUAAAUCACAAAUAAAGUUAGAUAUGAGUAGAAAUAAUAAGAAUAUAAUUAAAUAUAAUGGUCCAACCUAGACUAUUUGUAAGUAGAUAAAAUUUGCUUCUGUUUUAAUAGUAUUGAUAUGUAUUAUUUAUUUAAACUAACAAUAGAAUAUUCCCUACAUUUAUGGUAAUUAAUGAUUUCCAUAUUUUAUAAAUGAUAAUAAUUUUAUUUUUUAUUUAAAUUAUACUUUCAAUUUAAUUUGAAUAUCAAAAAGAAGGUACAUAUUAAAAAGAAGCUACGAAAGUAGACGACAGUUGGUGCGUUACGUUAAGGAAAUGUGUACUUAAUUAGAAUUUUAGAAAUAAACUGAAGAAAAUUGUACUAAAAACAAAAUAAAGAAAGCAAUGAGAUGAGGAAUCACACAUGGAUUCCAUUUUGUGACAUUCCACUUUUGGUGUUUUCCACUAAAAGAUUAAUCACUCACGAGAUGAGCUGAUCAAUUUUUCAGCUCACUUGUUAUUUUUAUUUUUUUAAGUGCUAGCAAGAAUCAUGAUAAUAAUAAUAAUAAUUCCAUUUUUUAGAUAUAUACACACUAUAUAAUAUAUUUAAACUAGUGACGUCUUGGACAAGUUUUAUCCUCACCCUUAUUUCAAACUUAUAAUGUUUUAUAAUCUUAAUACUUUUUUUAUUAUAUACACUAAGGGCUUUUUCCACGCUACACCCGGGGUAUUUGUAUAAGUUUUAAUUAAAUUAAAAAAAAUUACAAUAACAUUUGAAAAUAAAUUUUUAUAUAUACUACAAUCGAUUUUAAACUAUUAAAUUGGUAAAAAAUUUAAAUUCGUUUGAAUUUAUUAAUUGCCUUGUGUCUAAAAUAUUUCACAUAAUUUAACUCACAAUUUGUUAUUAAAGGAAAUCAUAUAUAUAAUGAUCAGUAAGAUGGGUCAAAGUUAACUAAACCUUGUUAUACUUUAAAAUACAUUUAUCUUAUUAAUUUAGGUUUUGUAUAAACAAUUAUAAAUUUAAAACCAAUUUAAACUUUAUUUUAACUUUUGAAUUAUUGAGUUGUAAUAACAUAUUUAACAAUUUCAUAACAGAAAAUUAAAUUGAAUAGAAAAAUUGAUCUAAACUAAAGAUAAUGUUGUUCUCCAAAUUGAUUCAUGAAAAUACAUUAUAAAUAAAGAUUAUAACAGACCAAACCAGUUUUAAGACAAUUUUUUAAAUAAACCAUCACCGAAACUUUAUAUUUAAAUCAUAUAAGCCAAUAAUGACUUUAUAAAUUAAGAUAUUCCGGCCUCGUCCCAAAGAGAUUAGUCUCUACUUUUAUGUUGGUUUCUACCUUUGGUUAUUUAUUUUAAAUUUAUAAUCUGGUGUUUUUUUAAAAUUUAUAUAUGGUGAGGAUUUAGUUUAAUAUUCACAACGUUUAAAUUACUUAUGAAGAUUGUUGUUGAAUGAAUAUAAUUUGAAGAAGUGGCCUAAGUCUAAAUCUUUAAACAACUCUCCAUGAUGUGUUUGAGUCUCCAUUUUACACUCUUUUCAUCGUAAUUGUUACCAAUGAAAUGUGUUCAAACUUUGAAUCAUCGUAAUUACUACCAAUUUUUGUGUUUAAUUUUAUACUAACUACAUGUGUUGUUUUGAGCCCAGAUAUUCAUCGUACCAUGUUACAAAAAGAACAUACGGAUUAUUUGAAAUAAUUCAUUGGAACAAAUUGACAGUGAUUAGUUUUCCAAUAUAUGGUGUAAGAUUAAAUACUUUUGACGGCGGGCAAGUUUCACACAUUGUCUUCCUAAGUUUUUUUAUGUUUUGUUUUGCUAAAAUUUGGUGCAAUUGUCUUUCUAAGUUCUUUAUGUAUCUUAACUAAUUUAUUAGUCAAAUAAUUUAUAAAAUGUUCCCAACUUGGAUUUUGAUAUAUAAACUUUAUGUGUAUAUAUGGUCUUGAAAAUGUUCAGAAACAUUUAAUCUUGCUAUCUUUUUGUGCAAAGAUCACUUUGUCCCCAAAAUAUAUUCUUCUGAGAUUCUUCCAGACAUCAGCAAUAACUCAGGAGAGAGAGAGAGAGAGAGAGAGAGAGAGAGAGAGAGAGAGAGAGAGAGAGAGAGAGAGAGAGA
Brassica rapa (field mustard) is the source of this 7165-nucleotide long non-coding RNA. RefSeq lists it as uncharacterized. Lineage: Eukaryota; Viridiplantae; Streptophyta; Magnoliopsida; Brassicales; Brassicaceae. The record is from RefSeq and is a predicted model, not a curated record.